This 611-nucleotide ribosomal RNA is filed under the name Salmonella enterica subsp. enterica serovar Heidelberg. Its description in RNAcentral is "partial 23S ribosomal RNA". It matches the Rfam family "Bacterial large subunit ribosomal RNA", at positions 137 to 688 of the family's 2925-position model. RNAcentral also lists the same sequence under 1 other name. The record is from RNAcentral. Lineage: Bacteria; Pseudomonadati; Pseudomonadota; Gammaproteobacteria; Enterobacterales; Enterobacteriaceae.
GACUCGUCACACUAUCAUUAACUGAAUCCAUAGGUUAAUGAGGCGAACCGGGGGAACUGAAACAUCUAAGUACCCCGAGGAAAAGAAAUCAACCGAGAUUCCCCCAGUAGCGGCGAGCGAACGGGGAGGAGCCCAGAGCCUGAAUCAGCAUGUGUGUUAGUGGAAGCGUCUGGAAAGGCGCGCGAUACAGGGUGACAGCCCCGUACACAAAAGCGCAUGUGCUGUGAGCUCGAUGAGUAGGGCGGGACACGUGGUAUCCUGUCUGAAUAUGGGGGGACCAUCCUCCAAGGCUAAAUACUCCUGACUGACCGAUAGUGAACCAGUACCGUGAGGGAAAGGCGAAAAGAACCCCGGCGAGGGGAGUGAAAAAGAACCUGAAACCGUGUACGUACAAGCAGUGGGAGCCCCACCACUAAGCCAGUGGUGAACUCCACAUACGCAUCCUUUGCUGAGGAUACGGUUAACGGAGCGAAAGCGACGUUCAACCGCAAAAGAAGCAGAGGGGGCUUAGUGGUGGGGUGACUGCGUACCUUUUGUAUAAUGGGUCAGCGACUUAUAUUCUGUAGCAAGGUUAACCGAAUAGGGGAGCCGGAGGGAAACCGAGUCUUAAU